AGACAUAGAUGUAGAGACAGAAUAUACAAAAACACAAGCGUGAAAGUAGACAGAUGCAUGCAUAUCUGGUGUUACCAGAGUUUCAGAAACAUGAAGGUUUCUGCUGGUAAAUAAGCUGUUACUCUGCACUUUUUACUUUAAGACACCGUGAAAUUCACUUGCUGUCCCAGAGUGACUCCAAGGACAAUUUUAUAUCAGUUAUGCCUAGUCAUUGUCAAACGCCUAGUUAAGUAGCUUGUAGGUAGCACCGGCUGAUUGCAAAAGUGGCUGCUGAUAAACCUGUCGUGUCUGCAUGAAGAAUGGAUAGUAAUUAAACAUUCAUUUACACAUAAUAUUCGAAGCAGGAAUAUACUAUCUUGUAUUUCUUGAAAUUUCGUAUUUGUGCAU
Oxyura jamaicensis (ruddy duck) is the source of this 387-nucleotide long non-coding RNA. RefSeq lists it as uncharacterized. NCBI's taxonomy places the organism in Eukaryota, Metazoa, Chordata, Aves, Anseriformes, Anatidae. The record is from RefSeq and is a predicted model, not a curated record. The transcript is spliced from 3 exons.